UAAAAGAUGGCGGUAAUGAUUUAUAAACUUUAAGGUCUUUAAGUUGGUAUGGUAAAAUGUCAGAUAUGAUGAUAAGGUAAAUUUGGAGUUUUUGAGGUUUCGAGGUGACGAAAUUCCGUCGACUCGGCCAUUUCGCAAACGAUUCGGCUGGUAUCCAGAAGUGUAGUGGCUCGCGUGUGAACUUUUUCCUUUAGUUCUUUGGACAAGUUCCUUUUCAUUUAACUUUUUCCUUCAAACCUAUUUAAGUUCUACGGUUUGCGAACCGUUCUUUUUCAUCGAGUCACCUUUCUGUGUGACCUUUCUUUACAUACCAAGAAGCGCUCGUUCAACGGGCGCUUGGUAUAGGCUGGUUUUUUCUCAUACCCGUUUCUGCGGAAACGAUCCCGACGGUGGAACUCUCCACGUGGUUUUGCGAAACCUAACCUCCAAUUCGGAACCGAUCCUGCAACCGGGCACCCCUCGUGUCCCCUGCUCCACUCGUGCGUGCUGCUAAGGCCCGCCUUUCGGGGCAGUCAAACGGAGGUCGAGGUAAUUCG
This is a long non-coding RNA of Culex quinquefasciatus (southern house mosquito), 536 nucleotides long. RefSeq lists it as uncharacterized. NCBI's taxonomy places the organism in Eukaryota, Metazoa, Arthropoda, Insecta, Diptera, Culicidae. The transcript has 3 exons. The record is from RefSeq and is a predicted model, not a curated record.